UUCUUAUGAAAAGCAGUCAGUGCUGCCAUGAAAAUACUGUCACGAUUUACUGCCUCCUCAUGAGACCCAGGGCUAAGCCAAAGGGAUACCAUGCACCCUAAACCUCCUCAUAGCUGCUGCCUCUGAAACUCGACUCUGUAAUUUGGCUUUGGAUUCACCUUGAAAACAUCCCCUCUGAACAUCAGAAGUCCACUUGGUCCCCGAACAGUGUAUUAACUUCUAACAUUUCUGACUUCCAGUCAUGGAGAUUUCAAAACCAAUUGCAUAUAGCAAUGAAGCUUUUCACUUUUAAUGGAACAUUUAGGAGAAGGGCGGCUUUUCCUAUUUUCUGUGUUAUCUUCAGCCUGUUAACUGUUGUCAGCCCUGGAGAGAAACCAUCCCUUCUCCUUAAAAACAUGAACCACAUACUAAGUUGCUUCUUGCCUCUUAAAGAUUCAGGUCACUCAGGUACAUCAGACUGAGACAGGACGCUCAGGUACAUCAUACUGAGACAGGACACUCAGGUACAUGAUACUGAGACAAACACUCAGGUACAUCAUACUGAGACAGGACGCUCAGGUACAUCACACCGAGACAGGACAUGUUGAUUGUUGGUGUGUAUUUCUCCCAAGCCACCACUCAAACCAGUGUUUGAUUUCCAUGGAGGUUGGCUGAUGGCUUUUAGCUUGAGCCCCAACAGUGUGACUUCAUACAAGGCAAUUUCUUCAGAAAUAUCAUGGAACUUCAGGGACAUUAUAUUAUUAAAUUAAAAAAACCUAAUAUGUUAAUUUUUUCAUUAAAGUUUAUGAGUUUACUGAGUUUUUCUUUUCCAAAAUAGUUAAUGAGCUUUUGAGUCAUGUUUUUUAUGAAAGGAUUGACUUUCUCAUGGCGUCCAACUCUGUAGAUAAUCAUCCGAAACAGAUUUGACUGUAUUUGUUUAACAAAAGUCUGCCUAAACCAAACUCUGCCCUGAAUUUUUUGUUUUCCACACGUAUGUGCUAAAUCUGUGUAAUUUGGUAGUUUGUCUCUCCAGAACCACUGUUGGUCUUGUGUCACUAAUCAGCAGAGGCAGCAGUCUGACGGGUCCACAGAGACAAGGGAGGCAGCGGGAGGAAUGCAGUGGCCAGGCAGGUGAGGGACCUCAGGACCAGCAGCUCAGCCGCAUCCUUGCAUGCAGUGGCCAGGCAGGUGAGGGACCUCAGGACCAGCAGCUCAGCCGCAUCCUUGCAUGCAGUGGCCAGGCAGGUGAGGGACCUCAGGACCAGCAGCUCAGCCGCAUCCUUGCAUGCAGUGGCCAGGCAGGUGAGGGACCUCAGGACCAGCAGCUCAGCCGCAUCCUUGCAUGCAGUGGCCAGGCAGGUGAGGGACCUCAGGACCAGCAGCUCAGCCGCAUCCUUGCAUGCAGUGGCCAGGCAGGUGAGGGACCUCAGGACCAGCAGCUCAGCCGCAUCCUUGCAUGCAGUGGCCAGGCAGGUGAGGGACCUCAGGACCAGCAGCUCAGCCGCAUCCUUGCAUGCAGUGGCCAGGCAGUUGAGGCACCUCAGGACCAGCAGCUCAGCUGCAUCCUUCUCUUUUCCCAAGGUCGCACUGAGCAAGUCAGGAUGGUGAAGAAAGUCUCCAUCUCCAAACUGAACACAGGAUUUGUUGAGGUGGCCUCCUGGAGCCUAAGUGUGUUUGGGGUGAUAUCUACAAACUUCCAUCACUGCUUCACUGGUGGCCUUUGGAGAAUCACCAUUUUUUUUCGGUCUUGUUCUGUGGGAUAUAUUCUGAAAAAAUAGGACAAAUGCUAAAAUAGCGAUGUCAAAUUUAAGUUUUUCAUAGAAAUAGCAUAGUAGGGAACUAUACUCAUUUUUAUAAGGAAUACAUUUAAUCGUUACUCUUUCCCUUCCUUUUUUCUUUCCUUAAGAAAUAUUGAACGUUGAUUAUGUACAAAGAAUAGAAUAUGAUGGGAAACAAUACAAGUACCUUAUUACAUAUCGCAUAGUAUAAAUCUUUAAAUUGUGACUAUAAAUUAAACAGAGCCCCUUGAUGUCAUGGCUCAUGCCUGUAAUCCCAGCACUUUGGGAGGCCAAGGCAGGUGGAUCACUUGAGCCCAGGAAUUCAGGACUAGCCUGGGCAACAUGGCAAAACCCUGUCUCUACAAAAUGUACAAAAAUUAGCCAGGCAUGAUGGCUCACGGCUUCAGUCCCAGCUACGUGGGAGGCUGAGGAAGGAGGAUCACUUGAGCCCUGGAGAUUGAGGCUGCAGUGAGCCAUGACUGUGCCACUGCACUCCAGCCUGGGCAACAGAGUGAGACCUGUCUCAAUCAAUCAAUCAAUCAAUCAAUCAAUAAAACAGAGCAACUCAGCAAUAAUUAUAUAUUUAAUUAUUCUAAGUAUUAUAUUAUGUUUAAUAAUAUAAUUAUAUUUAAAUAUUAUAUAUUAUGUAACACAUCAAAGUGUAUCAUAUGAAGUUUUUUGUCUCCAUCAGUCUCUCUUAUUUUGAUAGUAAUGAUAAAACACUGGCCCAACUUAAUCCUCAGAAUGUGUUUAUUGAAUUAAAUGGUAGCCAUGGAAUUCAGAAGAACUUAUUUGAAGAGCUUUAAAAGAGAAAUAACACUUAUGAUUUUCCCUAUUACAAAAGUAUUUGUUCAUAGUAGAAAAUUGGAAAAUUCUGGGAAACAUAAGGAAUAAAAGAACAAUCAUGCCUAAUUCUAUCAUUCAGAGAUAGCAAUUACUACUAAUAUUUUGGCAUAUUUUCUCUAGCCUGUGUGUGUGUGUGUGUGUGUGUGUGUGUGUGUGUAUCUGUGUGUAUGUGUGUGUGUACACAAAGAAAAAGCCAGAGGAAAUGCCAUUUUUUUAUACAAAUAUAAAACAAAAAUGAGAUCUCACAAUAUACAUUGCUUUUAGACAUAUUCUUAAAAUUUAUAUCAUGAG
This 2894-nucleotide long non-coding RNA is filed under the name Homo sapiens (human). Its description in RNAcentral is "HSALNT0082853". The record is from RNAcentral. Lineage: Eukaryota; Metazoa; Chordata; Mammalia; Primates; Hominidae.